GGCAGGUUGCCCGAGUGGCCAAAGGGAGCGGACUGUAAAUCCGCCGGCUCAGCCUUCGUAGGUUCGAACCCUACACCUGCCA
RNAcentral lists this transfer RNA (82 nucleotides) under Murinocardiopsis flavida. Its description in RNAcentral is "Nocardiopsis sp. 14-Be-013 tRNA". It matches the Rfam family "tRNA". From Rfam's summary of the family: Transfer RNA (tRNA) molecules are approximately 80 nucleotides in length. Their secondary structure includes four short double-helical elements and three loops (D, anti-codon, and T loops). Further hydrogen bonds mediate the characteristic L-shaped molecular structure. tRNAs have two regions of fundamental functional importance: the anti-codon, which is responsible for specific mRNA codon recognition, and the 3' end, to which the tRNAs corresponding amino acid is attached (by aminoacyl-tRNA synthetases). tRNAs cope with the degeneracy of the genetic code in two manners: having more than one tRNA (with a specific anti-codon) for a particular amino acid; and 'wobble' base-pairing, i.e. permitting non-standard base-pairing at the 3rd anti-codon position. The record is from Rfam by way of RNAcentral. Lineage: Bacteria; Bacillati; Actinomycetota; Actinomycetes; Streptosporangiales; Nocardiopsidaceae.